Molecule: ribosomal RNA, 301 nt
Filed under: uncultured bacterium
Lineage: Bacteria
Description: partial 16S ribosomal RNA
Rfam family: Bacterial small subunit ribosomal RNA
Source: RNAcentral
CAGUCGCCGCGGGAAUACGAAGGGUGCAAGCGUUACUCGGAAUUACUGGGCGUAAAGCGUGCGUAGGUGGUGGUUUAAGUCCGUUGUGAAAGCCCUGGGCUCAACCUGGGAAUUGCAGUGGAUACUGGGUCACUAGAGUGUGGUAGAGGAUAGUGGAAUUUCCGGUGUAGCAGUGAAAUGCGUAGAGAUCGGAAGGAACAUCUGUGGCGAAGGCGACUAUCUGGGCCAACACUGACACUGAGGCACGAAAGCGUGGGGAGCAAACAGGAUUAGAUACCCCCGUAGUCCCUGUCCUUAUACA